GCACAAGCGGUGGAGCAUGUGGUUUAAUUCGACGCAACGCGAAGAACCUUACCUGGGCUCGAAAUGUAGUGGAAUCCGGCAGAAACGUCGGCGUCUAGCAAUAGACCGCUAUAUAGGUGCUGCAUGGCUGUCGUCAGCUCGUGUCGUGAGAUGUUGGGUUAAGUCCCGCAACGAGCGCAACCCUUAUCUACAGUUGCUACCAUUUAGUUGAGCACUCUGUCGAAACCGCCUCGGAUAACGGGGAGGAAGGUGGGGAUGACGUCAAGUCCUCAUGGCCUUUAUGUCCAGGGCUACACACGUGCUACAAUGGCCGGUACAAACCGUCGCAAACCCGUGAGGGGGAGCUAAUCGGAAAAAGCCGUCCUCAGUUCGGAUCGUAGUCUGCAACUCGACUACGUGAAGCUGGAAUCGCUAGUAAUCGCGGAUCAGAACGCCGCGGUGAAUACGUUCCCGGGC
RNAcentral lists this ribosomal RNA (456 nucleotides) under uncultured bacterium. Its description in RNAcentral is "bacterial SSU rRNA". It matches the Rfam family "Bacterial small subunit ribosomal RNA", at positions 923 to 1379 of the family's 1533-position model. The record is from RNAcentral.